GUGAGGAAUAUUGGUCAAUGGGCGAGAGCCUGAACCAGCCAAGUCGCGUGAAGGAAGAAGGAUCUAUGGUUCGUAAACUUCUUUUGCAGGGGAAUAAAGUGCGGGACGUGUCCUGUUUUGUAUGUACCCUGAGAAUAAGGAUCGGCUAACUCCGUGCCAGCAGCCGCGGUAAUACGGAGGAUCCGAGCGUUAUCCGGAUUUAUUGGGUUUAAAGGGUGCGUAGGUGGUUUGAUAAGUCAGCGGUGAAAGUUUGCAGCUUAACUGUAAAAAUGCCGUUGAAGCUGUCGGACUUGAGUGUAAAUGAGGUAGGCGGAAUGCGUGGUGUAGCGGUGAAAUGCAUAGAUAUCACGCAGAACUCCGAUUGCGAAGGCAGCUUACUAAGCUACAACUGACACUGAAGCACGAAAGCGUGGGGAUCAAACAGGAUUAGAAACCCUUGUAGUCC
RNAcentral lists this ribosomal RNA (445 nucleotides) under uncultured bacterium. RNAcentral describes it as "partial 16S ribosomal RNA". It matches the Rfam family "Bacterial small subunit ribosomal RNA", at positions 354 to 796 of the family's 1533-position model. The record is from RNAcentral.